This 254-nucleotide ribosomal RNA is filed under the name uncultured bacterium. RNAcentral describes it as "partial 16S ribosomal RNA". It matches the Rfam family "Bacterial small subunit ribosomal RNA", at positions 524 to 776 of the family's 1533-position model. The record is from RNAcentral.
UACGUAGGCAGCAAGCGUUGUUCGGAGUUACUGGGCGUAAAGGGUGCGUAGGCGGCUUUUUAAGUUUGGUGUGAAAUCUCCCGGCUCAACUGGGAGGGUGCGCCGAAUACUGAGAAGCUAGAGUGUGGGAGAGGAAAAGUGGAAUUCCUGGUGUAGCGGUGAAAUGCGUAGAUAUCAGGAGGAACACCGGUGGCGAAGGCGGGACUCUGGGCCGAUACUGACGCUGAGGAGCGAAAGCGUGGGGAGCAAACAGG